Molecule: ribosomal RNA, 253 nt
Filed under: uncultured bacterium
Lineage: Bacteria
Description: partial 16S ribosomal RNA
Rfam family: Bacterial small subunit ribosomal RNA
Source: RNAcentral
UACGUAGGUGGCAAGCGUUGUCCGGAUUUACUGGGCGUAAAGAGCGCGCAGGCGGUCGUUCAAGUCGCGUGUGAAAGCCCCCGGCUCAACUGGGGAGGGUCACGCGAUACUGAUCGACUCGAAGGCAGGAGAGGGAAGUAGAAUUCCCGGUGUAGUGGUGAAAUGCGUAGAUAUCGGGAGGAACACCUGUGGCGAAAGCGGCGCACUGGACCACAACUGACGCUGAGGCGCGAAAGCUAGGGGAGCAAACAGG